RNAcentral lists this ribosomal RNA (253 nucleotides) under uncultured bacterium. RNAcentral's name for it is "partial 16S ribosomal RNA". It matches the Rfam family "Bacterial small subunit ribosomal RNA", at positions 524 to 776 of the family's 1533-position model. The record is from RNAcentral.
UACGGAGGGUGCAAGCGUUAUCCGGAUUCACUGGGUUUAAAGGGUGCGUAGGUGGGUCUGUAAGUCCGUGGUGAAAUCUCCGAGCUUAACUUGGAAACUGCCAUGGAUACUAUAGGUCUUGAAUACUGUGGAGGUCAGCGGAAUAUGUCAUGUAGCGGUGAAAUGCUUAGAUAUGACAUAGAACACCAAUUGCGAAGGCAGCUGGCUACACAAAUAUUGACACUGAUGCACGAAAGCGUGGGGAGCGAACGGG